This is a long non-coding RNA of Trifolium pratense (red clover), 2152 nucleotides long. RefSeq lists it as uncharacterized. The transcript is spliced from 2 exons. NCBI's taxonomy places the organism in Eukaryota, Viridiplantae, Streptophyta, Magnoliopsida, Fabales, Fabaceae. The record is from RefSeq and is a predicted model, not a curated record.
CUUUUGUGUAGUUCUUUAUGACAUAAAAUAAUUUUAGAACUAGUAUUAGUUUUUGAUGAUGUGAAUAUUGUUGAAAAUCUAAUUGUUUUCUUUAGAUUAAAUGAAUUAUAUGAUAUGUUUGGCAUAUGUUUUCGGUACAUGAUAUGUGCUAGAUUAUUGCUAGUUGACUAUUUUAUUUUGCCAUGUUAGUUAUCAUGUUAAGAUAGCUAUAUUCUUGUAUGAUAUGCUAAUGUGAAUAUGAAUUGUUGAAUUUUUAAAAUUCGUUUCUAUGAAAUAUUUAUCUUUUCUUGUGUUUAUUUGAUUCUUAAUUUUGAGAUUUAGAGAAGAUAUAUGUUUCUUGAAUGUCUAUGUGAAAUGCUAUGUUUUGUUUUUGGGCAAUUUUAUAUAGAUGUUCAUGUUUUGUAUUUCGUAGUUUACCCCUUGUGUUCGACAUGUGAGUAAACACUGUCGAUACUAGUUUCUUUCGUGGGAGCUAGUUAGAGAACCGUAGAAGUGUCCAGUUAGGUAUGAGAGUUGAGAAUUACGAUAGGAGUUAUAAGUGGGUUUGAGAUAAGUGGGGGAGAAGGUUAAAUUCCUUUGAGAUGUUUAAGUGUAGAAGAAUAAGAUAGAUAGAGAUGUCCGAAGGAGAGCGUUCGUGUGUUGGUGUUGUCCAUUUCAGAGUUAGAUGAUUUGGAAGAACAGUUAGAAGACCGCUGGAGAAGAAGUUUGUAGGAUCGAUUGUUUUGCCAUGAAGAGCGCCAAUGUUGUUAAGUAAGAAGAGACGAGGAAUUAUGAGAAAAUCGGCGGAGAUUAGUAAGAUCAAAUUCAUUAUGUUUGGAAUAAUGAAGAAAGGUGUAGAGUAAAGUGUAGUAUGUGAUGAGAAAAUAAAGGAUUUCAGAUAUUGUAAUCGUGAGUAGUUGAACAAUAUUGAAGUAAUACAACUUAAGAGAUGUUUGGAUAUAAGUAUCUCGACAAAGGAAGUGAUAUUGGAAACUGUGAUGAAAGAUGGACAUGGAGUAAUGAUUUGGAAACAAGGUAAUGAUGUUGGAAUUCGACUUAAGAAAUUGAGUUUGGUGUGAUAGGAAUAAUUGUGUCGUUAAUGACGUAGUUUCGAUGUUCAUUAAUGGGAUUUAGAACUAGAUAUUGUGCUGAAAAACUUAAGACUGUGGUUUGGAUAAGAAUUGAACAUGGACGUAUUCAGAUUAAAAGAACUAAGAGACUAAAAGGAAAAAGAAGGAACCUGUGAAAACUUGUAAAGUUGUGAAGUUAUCAACAGAGAUGAGAUUUUUUCGGAGUACGUGAAAUGGAUUGAGUGGUACUUGUUGUGGAAUGUUACUUUUCGGAUGUUUCGUGCUUAUGAAAGCCCUAUUGUAGUUUGGUAAAGAUGGUUUAUGCCAUCAUCAUGAUUAUUGGCUAUUUAUUGACAAAUUGAGGAACUGGCCGUCCUUGAUCUCUUGUUAAUAAGUAUACGAAAAUCGUGUUGAUUGGAUGAGACUAAUUUUGUCAAACUCUGGUAGUGUCUAGAGUUUUGAGUGUUUUGUUGAAAAAUCAAAUGGAGGAGUCUUAUCUGAAGUUGUUUUAGCCGGACAAUUUUCGAGGGCGAAAAUUCUUUAAGUGGGGGAGAGUUGUAACAUCCCGAUUUUAUUAAUAGGUCAUUUAUUAAUUUAUUUGUGUUUAUCUAAUUAUGUGGCGUAUAACUUUCGUAAGUUAGUAUUUAUGAGUUUUAACCGGUUUUAAUUAAUUAGUGGGUUUAUGUGAAUUGGGCCUAGAGGGUGAUGAGAUGAGUAGAAUGAGGGGGUGCUAAUUGGAAAACAAUAGAAACCCUUUGUAUUAAGCAAACUCUAUCUAUUAAAUAAAAAUCAUUUGUCAUAAAAAUAAAAAUAAAAACAAAGAAAAGAAAAGACUAGAAGAGAAAGGAAGAACGUGAGAUUGAAAGAAAAAGAGGAAGAACAAAAGCUUAGGGAUUGAAGAAGAAGACUAAAGAAUCCAUCAUAGCUAAGGUUCUCAGGUUGUAUGUUUGUUGGUGUUCGCGUUGAUGGUGAAAGCUCUGCUCUGAUUGUGACACGGGGAAGGGUUCAUAGAGUCUUUAUUUGUUGUUGUUUUAUUUAAAUUAAAUGUGUAUAUUGUAUAAAAGGAAUUUUGCACAAGUGAUAUUUACUACUCAAUUUUAUUA